UUUUCUACAAUGACCUAAUUUCAAGCCCUAAUGCCUCUUUCGUAUUCCAUUCGUGCAACCCUCUCUCCCCCUUCUUUGUAAACAGCGAUGAACAAACCCUUAACCAUAUGAUGACUUUCGUGCGACGAAGAACACGAUGAACAGCGACCGGCGAUCAGUGAGCAGCGACCAGAGGGGAGCGACCAGAGGGGAGCGACGAAGGUCGGCGACCAGUCACUAUUGUUCAGUUCUACCAGGACGAAGCUACUUGGAUUUUGUACCAUGGACAAUGAGGUGGUUUUUUGAUAAGUGCAGACAGUAAGGCUCAAGUGCUUGAAGGUUUAUAAAUUUUUCAAUAGCAGUGCUAGGAAAUUGAUGAUAUUCUUGACAAAUGGAUUUAGUUCCUGUUUUGGAACAUUGAUGAAUGGUGAAUUGUUUUGGAACAUUGAUAAAUGAUGAAUUUUGUAAUUGUAGAA
This is a long non-coding RNA of Cornus florida, 455 nucleotides long. RefSeq lists it as uncharacterized. The record is from RefSeq and is a predicted model, not a curated record. NCBI's taxonomy places the organism in Eukaryota, Viridiplantae, Streptophyta, Magnoliopsida, Cornales, Cornaceae. The transcript is spliced from 2 exons.